GUAUACAUGUGUGUCCCUCCCGAAGCUGCGCGCUCAGUUGAAGAGGACGACCAUCCCCGGUAGAGGAGGACUGUUCUUCGGUCAAGGGUACAGAGUAGCUGCGCUCCCCUGCUAGAACCUCCAAACAAGCUCUCAAGAGCUUAUCCUAAAUGCAGCCAGAGGGAAAAGAGAGAUCACCUUCAGAGGAAGCGGCAAGUAGAUGACUGAUUUAU
RNAcentral lists this small nuclear RNA (212 nucleotides) under Sus scrofa (pig). Its description in RNAcentral is "7SK RNA". It matches the Rfam family "7SK RNA". Rfam says of the family: 7SK was discovered as an abundant small nuclear RNA in the mid-70s but a possible function has only recently been suggested. Two independent studies have found that 7SK RNA binds the CDK9/cyclin T complex (known as elongation factor P-TEFb). Lineage: Eukaryota; Metazoa; Chordata; Mammalia; Artiodactyla; Suidae. The record is from Rfam by way of RNAcentral.